This is a long non-coding RNA of Anas platyrhynchos (mallard), 1609 nucleotides long. RefSeq lists it as uncharacterized. The record is from RefSeq and is a predicted model, not a curated record. NCBI's taxonomy places the organism in Eukaryota, Metazoa, Chordata, Aves, Anseriformes, Anatidae.
CCUAGCCGAGCCAGGACCCCAUGGUGUGAAGGAAUUUAGGGGCGAUGCCUGGGGUGAUGCCCUUUUCUUUGUGAAGGAACAAAUCCUGCCUCCUCCUCUCCAGCUGGAAGGCAGGAUAGGGAUGCUUUAACACAGGCAGAUAUGACCAGAGACCCCAAAACCAGGAUCGUCGAGGCAGACACGACAGCAAUUCAUGCAGAGGUGCCUUCAGCUGCAGGGAGCUGCUGGGCUCGGGGGAGCUGAGCAGCAUCGCAUCACUGGGCGAUGUAUUAAAUGCAACCUGGACAGAAAGCUGCAGCUGGGGGCUGCCUUGGGAACACCUGCAGCCUGCUCAGCCUUCAUGCUGCUCCUCUGGAUGGAAAAGGCUCGGUUCUAGGGCUCAAAGGGGGAUCUGGCAGCAGCCCUGUACAAGAACCCGUGUGGGAAACACGUCAUUUCCCAAGAUGUUGCUCCAAUGCUGCACACAAAGAGGAAUCGCUUCAGACAGCACAAGACAGGAGCUGGCAGGUAGUAUGGACAAAAACAACAGCCCUGCAGGAAAAAGCUGAUGCAAAAGCCUGGACUGAGGAGGUCCUUUAAUGUUUAAUCACAGAACCUCUUGUCCAAACAGCUGAGCUCUGUGUAAGGCCUGGAUGUGUUUGCUGUGUGUGGGAGACCUCUGUUUGCAGGGGGAGGAGAGGCUCUGACCCGUAUCGCCCUGAGCAGGAGCGUGCACCCUGUCGGGGUCUGCAGCCUAACGCGCGCUCCUGCCCUGCUGAGCACACACAUCGCUGCUUGCACUCACGUGUGGCCUCCCCACAACGUGCACUUAGGCUUUCCCCAUCCUUAUCGCAGGAGGGAACAAGGAGUUUUCCCGUUGUGAAGGAAAUUAAUGGAAAAAAAAAAAGAAUCCGGGGAAAUUGGCCAUUCUUUUGGCUGAUUGCCUUCGGUUUUCCUACUGGCCGUGUCGGGGUUCAGCUUUCCUGAAGGAAUGAACAAUAAUCUAAUUAAUAUGCUUACUCUAGUAUAAUGGAGCCUAAAGAUGCCUUCAGCUUGUCGCAGCAUGCACUUUUAAAUUUUUUUUUGCUCUGCAGUAACAUUAAAACAGCCAGACUUUCAGCCCUGCAAACUGUGGAUAAUGAAUUUCUUUCAUCCCAAACAAUUUACUCCCCUGUGUAUUAAAACACUUAACCAGAUCAGUUGUAUUUGUACCAAUGCGUGCUCUGAUGUGCGCAGCAAUGGAAAAAAAAAUAAAAGAGCAAUCAGCGUGCAGUAAUGAUUAUUUUCUUGGUAAAUGCUUUUUUUUUUUUUUCUUUUUUUUUUUUUCUUUUCUUUUUCUAAAAAUGAUGGAAAUAAAGUCGCAUAUUUCUCAGUGAGAAGUGAAUGCUGUUUACACAACCAACAUGAGUAAUGAAAACAAGUAUAUUCCCUCCUGCCCUUGUUCUCUUUGGACCCCAUCCAGCAUUGAGUGAAGUCGGUGAGAGCUCUGCUGCUGACUCGUUCGGAGCAAGGCUGGAGCCGCUGUCCGCAGUCAGCAUUCCCCCCCAGCAAGCACGGCUCUGGAAAUGCUGAAGAGUCACUCGGAGAAGGCAGAGAUCAUCAAGAUCGUGUUGAGAAGGAACAUCUAACU